GAUGAAGAACGCAGCGAAAUGCGAUAAGUAAUGUGAAUUGCAGAAUUCAGUGAAUCAUCGAAUCUUUGAACGCACAUUGCGCCCGCCAGUAUUCUGGCGGGCAUGCCUGUUCGAGCGUCAUUACAACCCUCAGGCCCCCGGGCCUGGCGUUGGGGAUCGGCGGGGCGCCCCCCGCGGGCACGCGCCGUCCCCCAAAUACAGUGGCGGUCCCGCCGCAGCUUCCAUUGCGUAGUAGCUAACACCUCGCAACUGGAGAGCGGCGCGGCCAUGCCGUAAAACACCCAACUUCUGAAUGUUGACCUCGAAUCAGGUAGGAAUACCCGCUGAACUUAAGCAUAUCAAUAAGCGGAGGA
RNAcentral lists this unclassified non-coding RNA (353 nucleotides) under soil metagenome. RNAcentral describes it as "partial contains 5.8S ribosomal RNA, internal transcribed spacer 2, and large subunit ribosomal RNA". The stretch from base 1 to 120 matches the Rfam family "5.8S ribosomal RNA", at positions 35 to 154 of the family's 154-position model. The record is from RNAcentral.